Molecule: ribosomal RNA, 505 nt
Filed under: uncultured bacterium
Lineage: Bacteria
Description: bacterial SSU rRNA
Rfam family: Bacterial small subunit ribosomal RNA
Source: RNAcentral
GACGAACGCUGGCGGCGUGCUUAACACAUGCAAGUCGAACGAUGAACCGGAGCUUGCUCUGGGGGAUUAGUGGCGAACGGGUGAGUAACACGUGGGCAACCUGCCCCAGACACCGGGAUAACCAUUGGAAACGAUGGCUAAUACCGGAUACGACCACUUCGGGCAUCCGAUGGUGGUGGAAAGGAUUCUGGUCUGGGAUGGGCCCGCGGCCUAUCAGCUUGUUGGUGGGGUAAUGGCCUACCAAGGCGACGACGGGUAGCCGGCCUGAGAGGGCGACCGGCCACACUGGGACUGAGACACGGCCCAGACUCCUACGGGAGGCAGCAGUGGGGAAUAUUGCGCAAUGGGCGAAAGCCUGACGCAGCGACGCCGCGUGAGGGACGAAGGUCUUCGGAUUGUAAACCUCUUUCGGCCCGGGAAGAAAUCGCAUGGGUUAAUACCCUGUGCGGAUGACGGUACCGGCAUAAGAAGCACCGGCUAACUACGUGCCAGCAGCCGCGGUAAU